Molecule: ribosomal RNA, 492 nt
Filed under: uncultured bacterium
Lineage: Bacteria
Description: partial 16S ribosomal RNA
Rfam family: Bacterial small subunit ribosomal RNA
Source: RNAcentral
AUUGAACGCUGGCGGCAUGCUUUACACAUGCAAGUCGAACGGUAACAGGCCUUCGGGUGCUGACGAGUGGCGAACGGGUGAGUAAUGCAUCGGAACGUGCCCAGAGGUGGGGGAUAACGCAGCGAAAGCUGUGCUAAUACCGCAUGUGAUCUGAGGAUGAAAGCGGGGGACCAAGCAGCAAUGUUUGGCCUCGCGCCUCUGGAGCGGCCGAUGUCAGAUUAGGUAGUUGGUGGGGUAAAGGCCUACCAAGCCGACGAUCUGUAGCUGGUCUGAGAGGACGACCAGCCACACUGGGACUGAGACACGGCCCAGACUCCUACGGGAGGCAGCAGUGGGGAAUUUUGGACAAUGGGCGCAAGCCUGAUCCAGCGAUGCCGCGUGCGGGAAGAAGGCCUUCGGGUUGUAAACCGCUUUUGUACGGAACGAAAAGGCUCUGGCUAAUACCUGGGGCUGAUGACGGUACCGUAAGAAUAAGCACCGGCUAACUACGUG